UGGACCCUCUGCGCUCGCUGUUUACAGACUGCGUACUUUCCAGAAGACCACACUGGAGGCAUGUUAGCCCAAGGUCUGAGAGAUACACUGGAGUCAUGGGGAUUGCAAGAAUGCCACCUUGUCUGUGUCACCACGGAUAACGCCACUAACAACAUCUCUGCAAUGGAACUGAACCAGUGGGAACGGCUACAAUGCUUUGGUCACCGCCUACAGCUAGCCAUUGAGAAUGCUCU
Molecule: long non-coding RNA, 233 nt
Organism: Oreochromis niloticus (Nile tilapia)
Lineage: Eukaryota; Metazoa; Chordata; Actinopteri; Cichliformes; Cichlidae
Exons: 3
Source: RefSeq, a predicted model, not a curated record